GAUUACUAUGAUGGAGCAUAAAAGAUCAAUGACGAACACAAUUUAACCCAGAUUCCUCUCUUCAGCAUGUUUAGUAAUGAGUAUAACGGCCCUAUUGUUCCGAUGGAGAUAAGAACCUAUGAUUAGCUUUUCGGGCAAUUUCCAAACGAACAAUUUCAACUAAAUCAUUGCUUAAGUCCGUAUAGUUCAAUUUUGUUUUACAUCAAUUGCUCAAGACAAAAUCUCUUGAAUCGUCAUCAAGCCAUCAAGCUAAGGUAUGUGACUUCAACCCACUUCCCACGAUCUAUUUUUUUUAUCUUCAUAUUUUAAUAAUAUUGAUCUCCAUGUCCCUUUUUCUUGAUGUUGUGUGUUUUAACAAAUAUGACACUUUCGUUAUUAGUGAAAUUUCAAUUUAUAGAGGUAAUUUGUUUUAAAUUAUUUACCGUGAAACCAAUAGAGUUUGAUUGUCCCAAUUUUUUCUAUUGAUGUUUAUUUGAUAAAGCAUUGGGUUACAAAUUAUUCAAAAUAUGGCAAAGUUAUGUGGCUUCAACCUACUUCUAAAGUUUAUUUUCUAUUUUAAUAUUUUAAUUUUUCUAGAAUGAGUUGUAUUUGUCCAGCUUCAUUAUUGUAGAUUCUUUUUCAUACUAAUAGGUGAGACGAAAUUGUUAAGUUUCAGUUAUUCAAAGAGAUCGAUUAUGAUCAUUAUUUUAUAAUUAGUUGUGACAAGUUCGGUGUUUUUUUACAUCAAUUGCUCAAGACAAAUUCUCUUGAAUCGUCAUCAAGCUAUUAAGCUAAGGUAUGCGACUUCCACCCACUUCCACGAUCUAUUUUUUUAUCUCCAUACUUUAAUCUUUCUAGAGUAAUACUAUUCUUCAAUAAGCUUUUUUUAUUGGUCCACUUUAUGUAGAGAUAUGUAUUUUCGGUAAAUUGCAUAUUGUGCAAUGCAGCGAAAAGCGAAUCUUAGAUAUUAAUUUUUCCUAUAUUUUUUAGUGUAACAUAAUUUCCAUCCAAUGUGUUAAAUGAAAUUUCGGAUAACUCAUAGGCCACAAGUAUGGUAAUAUUAUAAAAAAUCUAGAUUGUUGCACGAAUUUAUUGUAAUUUAAUAAAAAUAAUAAUUGGUGCUUUGGGUUUGUUAUUAUCGUUUACAUUUUGGUCCUUAAUGUUUAUGGACCAUUGAACCGCUUUAAAAUUAACUUAUCUCAUAAAUACUAAUGUAAGAAAAUAGUAUUGAAAUUUUACAGCUUACUUGAAAAUUCUUAAGAGACUAAUUAUGAUGCAUUUUAUGGUUAAUUUCUCCAAAAAUCUCUUGCAUGUAGCACGUUUUCUAUUAAUGACUUUUUACCGCAUAAUUCUUCCAGGUAAUUAAUUUUAUAUGUCAAAUAGUAAUUAUAACAAAAAUUAUCUCAAACUUGAUCAACUAUACAUGCAUGUACUUACUGUAAACUCAAACUUUAAAGUAUAUUUUAAAUAAGAAAAAAGUGAAUACAUGUAAAUAUAUUGACGCGAUACACACGUGCAACGCACGUAUGCUAAAACUAGUGUUUAUGAAAAGUUUAUACUAGCUUCAUUAGGUAGAUCUGAAGCUCACUUGUGAAUAAGUCGACUGUUUAAGUCAACAAAUACUUGUUGUUGUAGCUUGAUUACUUAAAUAUCACCAAAAUUUGUAGUUUAGUUGAAAGUUUAAAAAACAUUUUUGCGAUGCAAUUUGCUCUAUUAUUCCUGUUACUUAAAACUUCAGCUGCUUUUAGGAUUUAAGGGAGAAAUUACACGUAAAUUUGAUUUUUCUUCUUUAUUUAUUUCUUACAAAAAGAAUUUGAGUAAUGUAUAGUUGGCCUCUUAAAAAUACGGAAUUCUGUUAGAUAUAAAAGAAUCCAGUUAUAGUUGUUGAAAUGUAAAGCUUUAUUCCACCCCCAAAUGGUUAAUUAUUUGUCUACGUGUAAUAACUGUAAAAAGUAACAAAUUUCAAUGUUAAUAAGUCUUUGUAUGCUUCAAAUGAAGAUUCUUCUUUAUUACAUGUCCUAAUUGUUUCUUUGCUUCACUACUCUAUCGAUGACUUCCGAGCUUUAGGGGGGCGACAUUUGGCUUCCACUUCACUUCUUCACUUUCCUCUGUGCUACUUUGAUUUUAUGGUUCUUUCUAAUCCUCUAUCUCUUACUACAAAAAGUAGCUACAUGUGGUUUUCUCCAAAUUUAUUUGGGCUUGUGAAUCGAACUUCAGGUAUGUCUUCGAUGUCUGCAAAAUAUUUGUUCAUCUCUCUUUUAUUUUGUUUAUUGCUCUUCUCUGUGCCUUUGAUUUUCUCCAACAGCUAACAGUGUGAUUAAUGGAAGCUAGAUGAGGGAUUGUUUAUGUAAUACAUCUUUCCUUUCUUGUGUCUGUUUGGGAAUUACAAUUGGUUUCCAUCAUGGAGACAGAUUGAAAAGUAUUCUAGCAAAAAAAUUUGGCAGAGAUUUCCCACUGAUAUAGAAAAUUAGACCCUAUUCUUUUGGGUUGUAGGGCAGUAGGAAGGUGCUUAACUUGAAGGAAGUGAAUGUGAUGAGAGCCUAUGGAACUGCUAAAGGCAAGUUUCAGCACCUUUAAGAUCGUCAUCAAAUGAGGGUGAAGAAAUUUGUAAAGAGGUAAACUGAUACCUCCUAAUUGGCUAUCUUGCGUGAGAUCUAUAUAUACCAAAAAUAAUAACAAAUACCAAGUUAUGUACUGACCAACUUUGAUCUAUAAAUUGGGCAGCCUAUCUUUCUCUUCCUUUUAAAAAAAAAUACAGUUUCUAGCAUUUGAACAUGGCAUCAAGUGACAUCACUGCAUAGAGGUCGAUUCUUUGGAAGUUAGUAAUUCUUUAGUAAUGUUGGUUAAACACACAGAACAGUUUGAUCCAAAUUUAGACAAACUUUCGUUGCUUCACUCAACUUUUUAGAAAAUGAGCAGCUUAAUUAUUAUGUUUAUAAGAGCCCUUCCACUGUGCAUUUCGAAAGAUUUAAAACCAACAACUACCUUUAAUAUCAUUCGGAAUGGUGAAGGGGUGUAUAGUUUAAUACCAUCCUCUUAUCUGAUGAGGUUAUUGAAAUUUGACUUGAGCUAGGUUGAUUGCAAUGUAAGUUGAGUUGCUUUCUCUGCUCUUUUUGUUAGUAACAUUUUGCUUGCCAUGUAAGAAGAAACUAUCCUUUGUUGCAAUAUUAAAUAUCUAAUGUUUAUGUUGGAUGUUUCUCCUUCCAAUGUUAUGAAAAACCACACUUUCGAGAUACCACAUCUGUGGUGUAAUGAAAUACCACUCUUGCAUGGAACUAAAGAAACACAAUUGAUCAAGGUCUUUGGUGAAUUAGCAUAAAAAUAACUACUUUUUUUUUUUUUUGCGUAAAAAUACACGUAUUUGGUUUUUGUAUGAUUACAGUUUGAAACUCCUACAUUCUUAAAGUAUUUUUAAUUUUUUCCAUUGUUUUCACAAUGACUACUUUAUUUAAAUUGUCUCAUCUCUUUCCGUGUUCCAUUAUGAUAGGCAAGAUCUCUAAUUCUUGAAUCUUGCUGUAAAGUAAGAUGAACAUUUGGAUUGGGAGAUACAAAUAAGGGUAGCACUGGGCAUGUCGUACUGCCUUGAGAACAAUGAUAGUUUGUCGUCAUGGGUACCCCAUAGAAACUUGACUUACUGCUGUGUACAUCAAAGAAGACUACAACCAUGAAGUAGUGCUCAGCUAUCCUAUUGAGGCCUCAAGUGAACAUCUAUCCAAUUAUCUUUAUGUUAUUUGUUAGAGAAGAGGCAAAUAUCAUUCAAGGUUAAACUUCUACAGCAAACGGGGAAAGUUACUCGGACUCUUCGAAAAUGUCGUCGGGUGCGUGUCGGAUCCUUCAAAAGUAGUGUAUUUUUGAAGGAUCCGAUACGGGUAUGGCAACACUUUCGAAGAUUCCGAGUAACUUAGAUGACAAGUAGGUGCUAAUGUUACUAUCGAUGUUCUUGCUGCUCUUUUAAGUUAAUAGUGUACCUCUGUUGGAUUGAUGAAAAAACAACAUUCUGUAGUAUUUUAGCUUCACACUUCCUGCACAACAUCUCAUGGCAUGUAACUCUAUCUUCUUUUCUUGGGUUGAAUGUAGCUUAUUUUAAUUGCAGCUCUAUGAGUGUUUUGGUCAAA
Long non-coding RNA from Lycium ferocissimum, 4094 nucleotides. RefSeq lists it as uncharacterized. The transcript is spliced from 2 exons. NCBI's taxonomy places the organism in Eukaryota, Viridiplantae, Streptophyta, Magnoliopsida, Solanales, Solanaceae. The record is from RefSeq and is a predicted model, not a curated record.